ACUUCGACUGUGAACGCGAUAGGAAUUGGAUCGUCUAUUCUACAAAGCUCCUUUAUCUUUUGCAACAAUUACAUUCGAAUGUCUUUUCAAGCGCUAACGACAUAAUCGACGUUUGGUAAUAUCCAUCAACAGAGGGGACAAUUCGGAUGCACAAUCUAUGCCUAUGACUGUGCAGUAGGGAGGGCAUACUCUUCUCCACCACUUGUCUGGCGCCACUAUUGUCUCCGAAGGCCAAGCUGUAAAUCUUCGUUGCUUAUACCGUUUUCUUGAAACGACGUUGCGACACAAUCUUCCAGUGUGAGUGGUAGCUUAUUCGGUAAGGGAAAUCACAGUUAAAUUUCAUAAUACGGUAUUUUUAUCGGUACGUAGAACGUUCUCCGGUAAAACAUCAAAAU
This 395-nucleotide unclassified non-coding RNA is filed under the name Bombus terrestris (buff-tailed bumblebee). RNAcentral describes it as "misc RNA ENSBTSG00005025666.1". The record is from RNAcentral. Lineage: Eukaryota; Metazoa; Arthropoda; Insecta; Hymenoptera; Apidae.